Molecule: ribosomal RNA, 253 nt
Filed under: uncultured bacterium
Lineage: Bacteria
Description: partial 16S ribosomal RNA
Rfam family: Bacterial small subunit ribosomal RNA
Source: RNAcentral
UACAGAGGUCCCGAGCGUUGUUCGGAUUCACUGGGCGUAAAGGGUGCGUAGGUGGUGAGGUAAGUCGGAUGUGAAAACUCGGAACUCAACUCCGAAAUGGCAUUGGAAACUACCUUGCUGGAGGGUUGGAGAAGGAACUGGAAUUCUCGGUGUAGCAGUGAAAUGCGUAGAUAUCGAGAGGAACACCAAUGGCGAAGGCGAGUCCCUGGACAACACCUAACACUGAGGCACGAAAGCUAGGGGAACAAACAGG